RNAcentral lists this transfer RNA (88 nucleotides) under Planctomycetota bacterium. RNAcentral's name for it is "Planctomycetes bacterium (sediment metagenome) tRNA-Ser". It matches the Rfam family "tRNA". From Rfam's summary of the family: Transfer RNA (tRNA) molecules are approximately 80 nucleotides in length. Their secondary structure includes four short double-helical elements and three loops (D, anti-codon, and T loops). Lineage: Bacteria; Pseudomonadati; Planctomycetota. The record is from RNAcentral.
GGAUGGGUGGCCGAGUGGUCUAAGGCGGCAGUCUUGAAAACUGCUGUGGGCGUUUCGCCCACCGGGGGUUCGAAUCCCUCCCCAUCCG